Molecule: ribosomal RNA, 362 nt
Filed under: uncultured bacterium
Lineage: Bacteria
Description: bacterial SSU rRNA
Rfam family: Bacterial small subunit ribosomal RNA
Source: RNAcentral
CGAGAAUCCGGAUUAAUACCGCAUACCCUCUACGGAGAAAAAGCAGGGGAUCUUCGGACCUUGCGCUAUUGGAUGAGCCUAUGUCGGAUUAGUUAGUUGGUGGGGUAAAGGCCUACCAAGGCAGCGAUCCGUAGCUGGUCUUAGAGGAUGAUCAGCCACAUCGGGACUGAGACACGGCCCGAACUCCUACGGGAGGCAGCAGUGGGGAAUAUUGCACAAUGGGCGCAAGCCUGACGCAGCUAUGCCGCGUGUGUGAAGAAGGCCUUAGGGUUGUAAAGCACUUUCAGUAGUGAGGAAAAGCGCUGCGUUAAUAGCGCAAUGCUGUGACGUUAGCUACAGAAGAAGGACCGGCAAACUCCGUG